UGAACGCUGGCGGCGUGCCUAAUACAUGCAAGUCGAGCGACCAGACGCGGAGCUUGCUCCUCUGAUGUUAGCGGCGGACGGGUGAGUAACACGUGGAUAACCUACCUAUAAGACUGGGAUAACUUCGGGAAACCGGAGCUAAUACCGGAUAACAUGUUGAACCGCAUGGUUCAACAGUGAAAGACGGUCUUGCUGUCACUUAUAGAUGGAUCCGCGCCGCAUUAGCUAGUUGGUAAGGUAACGGCUUACCAAGGCAACGAUGCGUAGCCGACCUGAGAGGGUGAUCGGCCACACUGGAACUGAGACACGGUCCAGACUCCUACGGGAGGCAGCAGUAGGGAAUCUUCCGCAAUGGGCGAAAGCCUGACGGAGCAACGCCGCGUGAGUGAAGAAGGUCUUCGGAUCGUAAAACUCUGUUAUUAGGGAAGAACAAAUGUGUAAGUAACUAUGCACGUCUUGACGGUACCUAAUCAGAAAGCCACGGCUAACUACGUG
RNAcentral lists this ribosomal RNA (495 nucleotides) under uncultured bacterium. Its description in RNAcentral is "partial 16S ribosomal RNA". It matches the Rfam family "Bacterial small subunit ribosomal RNA", at positions 30 to 507 of the family's 1533-position model. The record is from RNAcentral.